UCAAAUAAAAGUGGACAGUCCACUAAAAGCAGCAGAUAGUGAAAGAAAAAUAUGGAAAGAUUGAGAGUGUGGGUAAAUGGAAGAGAGUUUAGAGGUACAAAUAAGAUAUCAAAUAUCAGUGGAUUGGGGUGGGAGGAAUAGGAAAUGGGCAACGGGCGCCCGCACUUUAUCCGGUUUUCAAGAGGAACUUGG
Caenorhabditis elegans is the source of this 192-nucleotide non-coding RNA. The record is from Ensembl. NCBI's taxonomy places the organism in Eukaryota, Metazoa, Nematoda, Chromadorea, Rhabditida, Rhabditidae.